Molecule: ribosomal RNA, 253 nt
Filed under: uncultured prokaryote
Description: partial 16S ribosomal RNA
Rfam family: Bacterial small subunit ribosomal RNA
Source: RNAcentral
UACGUAGGCAGCAAGCGUUGUUCGGAGUUACUGGGCGUAAAGGGUGCGUAGGCGGCUUCUUAAGUUUGGUGUGAAAUCUCCCGGCUCAACUGGGAGGGUGCGCCGAAUACUGAGGGGCUAGAGUGUGGGAGGGGAAAGUGGAAUUCCAGGUGUAGCGGUGAAAUGCGUAGAUAUCGGAAAGAACACCAAGGGCGAAGGCACUCUGCUGGGCCGAAACUGACACUGAGAGACGAGAGCUAGGGGAGCAAAUGGG